Molecule: ribosomal RNA, 1436 nt
Filed under: Microbacterium aurantiacum
Lineage: Bacteria; Bacillati; Actinomycetota; Actinomycetes; Micrococcales; Microbacteriaceae
Description: bacterial SSU rRNA
Rfam family: Bacterial small subunit ribosomal RNA
Source: RNAcentral
GAACGCUGGCGGCGUGCUUAACACAUGCAAGUCGAACGGUGAAGCCAAGCUUGCUUGGUGGAUCAGUGGCGAACGGGUGAGUAACACGUGAGCAACCUGCCCUGAACUCUGGGAUAAGCGCUGGAAACGGCGUCUAAUACUGGAUAUGAGCUGCGGAGGCAUCUUCGUGGUUGGAAAGAUUUUUCGGUUUGGGAUGGGCUCGCGGCCUAUCAGCUUGUUGGUGAGGUAAUGGCUCACCAAGGCGUCGACGGGUAGCCGGCCUGAGAGGGUGACCGGCCACACUGGGACUGAGACACGGCCCAGACUCCUACGGGAGGCAGCAGUGGGGAAUAUUGCACAAUGGGCGGAAGCCUGAUGCAGCAACGCCGCGUGAGGGAUGACGGCCUUCGGGUUGUAAACCUCUUUUAGCAGGGAAGAAGCGAAAGUGACGGUACCUGCAGAAAAAGCGCCGGCUAACUACGUGCCAGCAGCCGCGGUAAUACGUAGGGCGCAAGCGUUAUCCGGAAUUAUUGGGCGUAAAGAGCUCGUAGGCGGUUUGUCGCGUCUGCUGUGAAAUCUGGGGGCUCAACCCCCAGCCUGCAGUGGGUACGGGCAGACUAGAGUGCGGUAGGGGAGAUUGGAAUUCCUGGUGUAGCGGUGGAAUGCGCAGAUAUCAGGAGGAACACCGAUGGCGAAGGCAGAUCUCUGGGCCGUAACUGACGCUGAGGAGCGAAAGGGUGGGGAGCAAACAGGCUUAGAUACCCUGGUAGUCCACCCCGUAAACGUUGGGAACUAGUUGUGGGGUCCAUUCCACGGAUUCCGUGACGCAGCUAACGCAUUAAGUUCCCCGCCUGGGGAGUACGGCCGCAAGGCUAAAACUCAAAGGAAUUGACGGGGACCCGCACAAGCGGCGGAGCAUGCGGAUUAAUUCGAUGCAACGCGAAGAACCUUACCAAGGCUUGACAUACACGAGAACGCUGCAGAAAUGUAGAACUCUUUGGACACUCGUGAACAGGUGGUGCAUGGUUGUCGUCAGCUCGUGUCGUGAGAUGUUGGGUUAAGUCCCGCAACGAGCGCAACCCUCGUUCUAUGUUGCCAGCACGUAAUGGUGGGAACUCAUGGGAUACUGCCGGGGUCAACUCGGAGGAAGGUGGGGAUGACGUCAAAUCAUCAUGCCCCUUAUGUCUUGGGCUUCACGCAUGCUACAAUGGCCGGUACAAAGGGCUGCAAUACCGCGAGGUGGAGCGAAUCCCAAAAAGCCGGUCCCAGUUCGGAUUGAGGUCUGCAACUCGACCUCAUGAAGUCGGAGUCGCUAGUAAUCGCAGAUCAGCAACGCUGCGGUGAAUACGUUCCCGGGUCUUGUACACACCGCCCGUCAAGUCAUGAAAGUCGGUAACACCUGAAGCCGGUGGCCCAACCCUUGUGGAGGGAGCCGUCGAAGGUGGGAUCGGUAAUUA